UUGAUGUGACGUUAUGUUGGGUGGUAUUA
RNAcentral lists this non-coding RNA (29 nucleotides) under Rattus norvegicus (Norway rat). The record is from RNAcentral. Lineage: Eukaryota; Metazoa; Chordata; Mammalia; Rodentia; Muridae.